RNAcentral lists this ribosomal RNA (441 nucleotides) under uncultured Sphingobacterium sp. RNAcentral's name for it is "bacterial SSU rRNA". It matches the Rfam family "Bacterial small subunit ribosomal RNA", at positions 348 to 786 of the family's 1533-position model. The record is from RNAcentral. Lineage: Bacteria; Pseudomonadati; Bacteroidota; Sphingobacteriia; Sphingobacteriales; Sphingobacteriaceae.
GCAGCAGUAAGGAAUAUUGGUCAAUGGAGGGAACUCUGAACCAGCCAUGCCGCGUGCAGGAUGACUGCCCUAUGGGUUGUAAACUGCUUUUGUCAGGGAAUAAACCUUUCCACGUGUGGGAAGCUGAAUGUACCUGAAGAAUAAGGAUCGGCUAACUCCGUGCCAGCAGCCGCGGUAAUACGGAGGAUCCAAGCGUUAUCCGGAUUUAUUGGGUUUAAAGGGUGCGUAGGCGGUCCUAUAAGUCAGUGGUGAAAGACGGCAGCUUAACUGUCGCAGUGCCUUUGAUACUGUAGGACUUGAAUCUAUUUGAAGUGGGCGGAAUAAGACAAGUAGCGGUGAAAUGCAUAGAUAUGUCUUAGAACUCCGAUUGCGAAGGCAGCUCACUAAGUUAGUAUUGACGCUGAUGCACGAAAGCGUGGGGAUCAAACAGGAUUAGAUACC